CCCCGGCUCUGCUGAUUGUGAGAUGGUAACUUCUCCUAUUUUGUUCUUCUUUAUCAAUCAUGUGAUUUGUAUUAAUCAUUUCGUUGUUCUUGAAGUUGGGAUCGCUCUCAAAUGGUUCUUUAACUUGCAAGAGUUGCUCCUCCUAUGAUGCAGCAUAGCUAGGAGUUGAAUUCUUCUUUCUAUCUAAGGAAGAAUACUCUUUGAGUCCCAUAAUUUUCUGCUUUGUUUUGACAUGCAUUUUUCUUUGCAAGUGAGGAAUAAUUGGCCAAUAUGAUCUGCUUAAUGUCCUGGGAAAACAAAAGAAGGAAGGUUUGUUUGCAUGUAAUUUUCUCUGUCACUCCACUAUAACAUUGAUUGAGUAUUUAGCUUGAUUAUUUUUUUUUACGUAUGCGACUCAUUUUUCUGCAUUAUGGUGUUUUCUCCUUAGAUAAUUAGUUUACCUGUGUUCAUGGAGUUUCCCCUAUUGUGUUUUGUAUUAUUUAGAUAAUAGCAUAGGAAGCCAGUCAAAAUCUAUGCAGCCGGUGUGCUUGUGAACUACAUUUCUCUUCCUCUGGUUAGAGCAGUAAGGUUUCGACUCUCUCUGAUGAUGACCUUUGUUAUUGGAGUCACCGCAAAAGUAAAAUGUUCCUUCUUUCUAGGAGCUUCCAUAUGAUCGACUUAUAAAAGAGUCUAGAGCGCCAUAACAGUGCGUGAAAAAAUCUUCUCAUACAUGAGCACAUGUGUGCGAUGAGUAUUAGCUCUUACACUUGAAUCAUUGUGUUAUGAGUAGAGAGAUCAUUGUUCUUUCAACUAC
RNAcentral lists this long non-coding RNA (793 nucleotides) under Nicotiana tabacum (common tobacco). RNAcentral's name for it is "long non-coding RNA (NTAB_LNC002313)". Lineage: Eukaryota; Viridiplantae; Streptophyta; Magnoliopsida; Solanales; Solanaceae. The record is from RNAcentral.